This 655-nucleotide unclassified non-coding RNA is filed under the name Hevea brasiliensis (rubber tree). Lineage: Eukaryota; Viridiplantae; Streptophyta; Magnoliopsida; Malpighiales; Euphorbiaceae. The record is from RNAcentral.
UUGGGCAUAGUAGAAAACCUCAGGAAUCUGUAUAUGUCUAAAUGCUGAACAUUCAAUACAAGUUUCGAUCUCUCGAAAUUGUUGCAUAAUUGGUGACAUCACCUGCUCCAAACUGACAGGGUACUGUUCAUCCCUCUUAUCUAGCAUGCAACCCACGACAACAACGGGAACCCUAACCUCCAAUCUGCGGAGUUCAGGAAGCCAGAAAGUACUCAGCCGAUCAAGAGUUGCAGGCUUAUCACAAGCAUAAGUUAAUACAACUGCAUCAGCUUUCUUCAGCUCUUCCACAAGUUUACCUCUAUUUUCAGGACUAGAAGACGUAUCAAUAAUAGUUACAGGUACUUUAUCAGGAUAGAUAUCAUCAGGUAGCCUUGUAGGCGGCAACACCGGAGGGACAUUGGGUGGAUAAGUAUCAGUGGCGGCUGUCAAGAUCAAGCUAGACUUUCCAGUUUUAGCAUCACCUGCAACCACUAUCCUAACAGUUGGGGCAUCACCCUUUCCAGCAGCUGAACCACCUCCUGCCAUUCACUCACUAAUCUUUCUCUCCUUCUUUAGCGUGAGAUUUGAAAAUUCUUGAGGGGCCGAGGGGAUGUUAAAAUAGGCUGCUGGAAGAGGAAGCUUGGAGAAAAAGAUUUUUGACAAGAAUUUGAAGGCG